RNAcentral lists this small RNA (321 nucleotides) under Bos taurus (domestic cattle). The record is from RNAcentral. Lineage: Eukaryota; Metazoa; Chordata; Mammalia; Artiodactyla; Bovidae.
AUCUUGACAGAUAUUCAAUACAUUUGUAAACAAAACAAAGUGUCAUUGCCUGAAAAAAAUACAGAGGUAUCAACAGAAAAACAGAGGAAGCUCCUGAAAGAACUCAACUCACUAUUAACUAUAUUUUAUUUGCAGGCACAGAAACUGACUCAAGCUAAUUCUAAGAAGCAAAGCCCUGAUGUUAUUAUCUCUUCUCAGUGUGUGUGUGUGUGUGGAGAGACAAAGAGGAGGAGAAAGGAAGAGGAAAUGGAGAGAUUUCUCCUGGCAUAGGUAUACAGCCAGGAUCCCAGUUUCCUUGAAUGGUGCACAGAGAUUGCUAGG